RNAcentral lists this ribosomal RNA (497 nucleotides) under uncultured bacterium. Its description in RNAcentral is "partial 16S ribosomal RNA". It matches the Rfam family "Bacterial small subunit ribosomal RNA", at positions 28 to 507 of the family's 1533-position model. The record is from RNAcentral.
GAUGAACGCUGGCGGCGUGCCUAAUACAUGCCAGUCGAGCGAACGGACGAGAAGCUUGCUUCUCUGAUGUUAGCGGCGGACGGGUGAGUAACACGUGGAUAACCUACCUAUAAGACUGGGAUAACUUCGGGAAACCGUAGCUAAUACCGGAUAAUAUUUUGAACCGCAUGGUUCAAAAGUGAAAGACGGUCUUGCUGUCACUUAUAGAUGGAUCCGCGCUGCAUUAGCUAGUUGGUAAGGUAGCGGCUUACCAAGGCAACGAUGCAUAGCCGACCUGAGAGGGUGAUCGGCCACACUGGAACUGAGACACGGUCCAGACUCCUACGGGAGGCAGCAGUAGGGAAUCUUCCGCAAUGGGCGAAAGCCUGACGGAGCAACGCCGCGUGAGUGAUGAAGGUCUUCGGAUCGUAAAACUCUGUUAUUAGGGAAGAACAUAUGUGUAAGUAACUGUGCACAUCUUGACGGUACCUAAUCAGAAAGCCACGGCUAACUACGUG